ACGCUCGACACCUACGGGAGGCAGCAGUAGGGAAUCUUCCACAAUGGGCGCAAGCCUGAUGGAGCAACACCGCGUGAGUGAAGAAGGGUUUCGGCUCGUAAAGCUCUGUUGUUGGAGAAGAACGUGCGUGAGAGUAACUGUUCACGCAGUGACGGUAUCCAACCAGAAAGUCACGGCUAACUACGUGCCUGCAGCCGCGGUAAUCUGAGCGGGCUGGCAAGGC
This 223-nucleotide ribosomal RNA is filed under the name uncultured bacterium. RNAcentral describes it as "partial 16S ribosomal RNA". It matches the Rfam family "Bacterial small subunit ribosomal RNA", at positions 328 to 539 of the family's 1533-position model. The record is from RNAcentral.